This is a non-coding RNA of Megalobrama amblycephala (Wuchang bream), 671 nucleotides long. NCBI's taxonomy places the organism in Eukaryota, Metazoa, Chordata, Actinopteri, Cypriniformes, Xenocyprididae. The record is from the annotation of a RefSeq genome assembly.
UUUUACUCCAGCAGGGUUUUUGCUCAGAGAGUCACUUUGCAUCGGCUCAUGCUUCAGCGCUCCGAGUGUUUAUAGCGUUCAGACUCAAACACUUUAUAACACACUGCUGUUUACCACGGUACAAACCCAACAAACACCAUGAAUCUCUUCAGCAGCUUCAUCUGGAUUCUGGCAGCUUUUAUUCCAGCAUCCAGAGGAAUCACUGUGACUCAGCCUGAAGCUGUGACUGUUUCUGAAGGACAAAACGCCAAAAUAGAGUGUAAAACUGAUACUGGGAUAGAUGGCUCGGCUUUAGCUUGGUAUCAGCAGAAACAUGGAGAAGCUCCUAAACUCAUUAUUUAUUGGGUAGAUGAGCUUUAUGAUGAGAGUUUAAGUCGAUUCAGUGGCAGUGGAUCUAACAGUGAUUUCACUCUGACCAUCAGUGGAGUCCAGACUGAAGAUGCUGGACAUUAUUACUGUCAGAGUGUACAUGAAGUCAACAGUGACUAUGUGUUCACACAGUGAUAAAGAGUCGUACAAAAACCUCCGUCAGUCAGAGUCACAGUGACUGAACUGAUACUGCAGCUGCUCACACACUUUCACACACUUUCACACACACUCAACAGCAGAAACACAAAUAUGAUCUUAAUAUCAGCUUUGUUGAGCUUCAUCAGUAUUUCUUCAGAUAAUUA